RNAcentral lists this ribosomal RNA (494 nucleotides) under uncultured bacterium. RNAcentral describes it as "bacterial SSU rRNA". It matches the Rfam family "Bacterial small subunit ribosomal RNA", at positions 28 to 509 of the family's 1533-position model. The record is from RNAcentral.
GACGAACGCUGGCGGCGUGGAUUAGGCAUGCAAGUCGGACGGUAGAGCUUUAUCGUAAGAUAGAGUUUGAGAGUGGCGAACGGGUGAGUAACACGUAGGAAUCUACCCUUAAGACGGGGACAACCCAGGGAAACUUGGGCUAAUACCGGAUGAGAGUGCGAGAGAUUGCAUUUAAAAGGAUGGCGAAAGUUGUCGCUUAGGGAUGAGCCUGCGGUCUAUUAGUUAGUUGGUGAGGUAAGAGCUCACCAAGGCGAUGAUAGAUAGGCGGCCUUAACGGGUGGUCGCCCACACUGGGAUUGAGAUACGGCCCAGACUCCUACGGGAGGCAGCAGUCGAGAAUAGUCUACAAUGGCCGGAAGGCUGAUAGUGCGACGCCGCGUGAACGAGGGAGCCCUUCGGGUGUAAAGUUCUUUUAUAUGUGAGCAGUGCUUCUUAUAUUAACAGUAUGGGGAAGAGAUAUUAGCAUAUGAAUAAGCAACGGCUAACUCCGUGCC